CCCUUAGAUGUUCUGGGCCGCACGCGCGCUACAAUGAUGAAUUCAACGAGUUUAUAACCUUGGUUGAAAAGCCUGGGUAAUCUUUUGAACUUUCGUCGUGAUGGGGCUAGACCCUUGCAAUUAUUGGUCUCCAACGAGGAAUUCCUAGUAAACGCAAGUCAUCAGCUUGCAUUGAUUACGUCCCUGCCCUUUGUACACACCGCCCGUCGCACCUACCGAUUGAAUGGUCCGGUGAAAUCUUCGGAUUGAGACUUUGAUUUCUUCGCGGAAAACGCUGUUUUAAAAAGUUGAUUAAACCUUACCAUUUAGAGGAAGGUGAAGUCGUAACA
This 329-nucleotide ribosomal RNA is filed under the name uncultured eukaryote. RNAcentral's name for it is "partial 18S ribosomal RNA". It matches the Rfam family "Eukaryotic small subunit ribosomal RNA", at positions 1470 to 1796 of the family's 1831-position model. The record is from RNAcentral.